Molecule: ribosomal RNA, 513 nt
Filed under: uncultured bacterium
Lineage: Bacteria
Description: partial 16S ribosomal RNA
Rfam family: Bacterial small subunit ribosomal RNA
Source: RNAcentral
AUUGAACGCUGGCGGCAUGCCUAACACAUGCAAGUCGAACGGCAGCACAGUAAAGACUUCGGUCUUUAUGGGUGGCGAGUGGCGGACGGGUGAGUAACGCGUAGGAAUCUGUCCUGGAUGGUGGGAUAACCCGAGGAAACUCGGGCUAAUAGCGCAUGAUAUCGAGAGAUCAAAAAGAGGGGACCCUUCGGGGUCUUUCGCUCUCGGAUGAGCCUACGUCGGAUUAGCUAUGUGGUGGGGUAAAGGCCUACCAAGACGACGAUCCGUAGCUGGUCUGAGAGGAUGACCAGCUACACUGGGACUGAGACACGGCCCAGACUCCUACGGGAGGCAGCAGUGGGGAAUCUUGGACAAUGGGGGAAACCCUGAUCCAGCGAUGCCGCGUGUGUGAAGAAGGCCUUCGGGUUGUAAAGCACUUUAGUUGGGGAAGAAAAGUAAUAAGUAAAUAAUUUAUUGCUCUGCCGGUACCCAAAGAAUCAGCACCGGCUAACUCUGUGCCAGCCGCCGCAGUAA